Molecule: ribosomal RNA, 476 nt
Filed under: uncultured bacterium
Lineage: Bacteria
Description: bacterial SSU rRNA
Rfam family: Bacterial small subunit ribosomal RNA
Source: RNAcentral
CUGGCGGCGAUGCUUUACACAUGCAAGUCGAACGGUAACGCGGGGCGAACCUGGCGACGAGUGGCGAACGGGUGAGUAAUAUAUCGGAACGUGCCCAGUAGUGGGGGAUAGCCCGGCGAAAGCCGGAUUAAUACCGCAUACGACCUAAGGGUGAAAGCGGGGGAUCGCAAGACCUCGCGCUAUUGGAGCGGCCGAUAUCAGAUUAGGUAGUUGGUGGGGUAAAGGCCUACCAAGCCUACGAUCUGUAGCUGGUCUGAGAGGACGACCAGCCACACUGGGACUGAGACACGGCCCAGACUCCUACGGGAGGCAGCAGUGGGGAAUUUUGGACAAUGGGCGCAAGCCUGAUCCAGCCAUGCCGCGUGCGGGAAGAAGGCCUUCGGGUUGUAAACCGCUUUUGUCAGGGAAGAAAUCUUCUGGAUUAAUACCUCGGGAGGAUGACGGUACCUGAAGAAUAAGCACCGGCUAACUACGUG